Molecule: ribosomal RNA, 322 nt
Filed under: uncultured eukaryote
Lineage: Eukaryota
Description: partial 18S ribosomal RNA
Rfam family: Eukaryotic small subunit ribosomal RNA
Source: RNAcentral
CCCUUAGAUGUUCUGGGCCGCACGCGUGCUACACUGAGUGGAUCAGCGGGUCAGGUUGCGCGAAAGUGUUUCCUAAUCUUUAAAUCCGCUCGUGAUGGGGAUUGACGGUUGCAAUUUUCCGUCAUGAACGAGGAAUACCUUGUAAGCGCGGGUCAUCAUCCCGCGCUGAAUACGUCCCUGCCCUUUGUACACACCGCCCGUCGCUCCUACCGAUUGAGUGGUCCGGUGAGGCUUUGGGAUCUGGGCGGAAAGAGCGUUUCGCUGUUUCUGCCCGGAAAACUCAGUCGAACCUUAUCAUUUAGAGGAAGGAGAAGGCGUAACA